CUGACGAGUGGCGGACGGGUGAGUAAUGUCUGGGAAACUGCCUGAUGGAGGGGGAUAACUACUGGAAACGGUAGCUAAUACCGCAUAACGUCGCAAGACCAAAGAGGGGGACCUUCGGGCCUCUUGCCAUCGGAUGUGCCCAGAUGGGAUUAGCUAGUAGGUGGGGUAACGGCUCACCUAGGCGACGAUCCCUAGCUGGUCUGAGAGGAUGACCAGCCACACUGGAACUGAGACACGGUCCAGACUCCUACGGGAGGCAGCAGUGGGGAAUAUUGCACAAUGGGCGCAAGCCUGAUGCAGCCAUGCCGCGUGUAUGAAGAAGGCCUUCGGGUUGUAAAGUACUUUCAGCGGGGAGGAAGGGAGUAAAGUUAAUACCUUUGCUCAUUGACGUUACCCGCAGAAGAAGCACCGGCUAACUCCGUGCCAGCAGCCGCGGUAAUACGGAGGGUGCAAGCGUUAAUCGGAAUUACUGGGCGUAAAGCGCACGCAGGCGGUUUGUUAAGUCAGAUGUGAAAUCCCCGGGCUCAACCUGGGAACUGCAUCUGAUACUGGCAAGCUUGAGUCUCGUAGAGGGGGGUAG
Molecule: ribosomal RNA, 580 nt
Filed under: bacterium endosymbiont of Onthophagus Taurus
Lineage: Bacteria
Description: bacterial SSU rRNA
Rfam family: Bacterial small subunit ribosomal RNA
Source: RNAcentral